GACGAACGCUGGCGGCGUGCUUAACACAUGCAAGUCGAACGGAAAGGCCCUGCUUUUGUGGGGUGCUCGAGUGGCGAACGGGUGAGUAACACGUGAGUAACCUGCCCUUGACUUUGGGAUAACUUCAGGAAACUGGGGCUAAUACCGGAUAGGAGCUCCUGCUGCAUGGUGGGGGUUGGAAAGUUUCGGCGGUUGGGGAUGGACUCGCGGCUUAUCAGCUUGUUGGUGGGGUAGUGGCUUACCAAGGCUUUGACGGGUAGCCGGCCUGAGAGGGUGACCGGCGACAUUGGGACUGCGAUACGGAGCAGACGGCUACGGGAGGCAGCAGUGGGGAAUAUUGCACAGUGGGCGGAAGCCUGAUGCAGCAACGCCGCGUGCGUGAUGACGGCCUGCGGGUUGUGAACCGCUUUCGCCUGUGACGAAGCGUGAGUGACGGUAAUGAGUAAAAAAGCACCGGCUAACUACGUG
RNAcentral lists this ribosomal RNA (468 nucleotides) under uncultured bacterium. RNAcentral describes it as "partial 16S ribosomal RNA". It matches the Rfam family "Bacterial small subunit ribosomal RNA", at positions 28 to 507 of the family's 1533-position model. The record is from RNAcentral.